UACGGGUGAGUAACACGUGGGUAAUCUACCUCUUAGUGGGGAAUAACCCUGGGAAACCGGGGCUAAUACCGCAUAAUCUCGAGAGAGGAAAGCAGCAAUGCGCUGAGAGAGGAGCCCGCGGCCGAUUAGCUUGUUGGCAGGGUAAAAGCCUACCAAGGCAUAGAUCGGUAGCCGGCCUGAGAGGGCACACGGCCACACUGGCACUGAAACACGGGCCAGACUCCUACGGGAGGCAGCAGUGGGGAAUCUUGCACAAUGGGGGAAACCCUGAUGCAGCGACGCCGCGUGAGCGAUGAAGCCCUUCGGGGUGUAAAGCUCUUUCGGCAGGGAAGAUCAUGACGGUACCUGCAGAAGCAGCUGCGGCUAACUACGUGCCAGCAGCCGCGGUAAUACGUAGGCAGCAAGCGUUGUUCGGAGUUACUGGGCGUAAAGGGUGUGUAGGCGGUUUCUUAAGUUUGGUGUGAAAUCUCCCGGCUCAACUGGGGGGGUGCGCCGAAUACUGAGGGACUCGAGUGCGGGAGAGGAGAGUGGAAUUCCUGGUGUAGCGGUGAAAUGCGUAGAUAUCAGGAGGAACACCGGCGGUGUAGACGGCUCUCUGGACCGUAACUGUCGCUGAGACACGAAAGCGUGGGUAGCAAACAGGAUUAGAUACCCUGGUAGUCCACGCCCUAAACGAUGCAUAUUUGGUGUGGGUCAUUCAGUUGAUCCGUGCCGGAGCUAACGCGUUAAAUAUGCCGCCUGGGGAGUACAGUCGCAAGGCUGAAACUCAAAGGAAUUGACGGGGGCCCGCAC
Molecule: ribosomal RNA, 792 nt
Filed under: uncultured bacterium
Lineage: Bacteria
Description: bacterial SSU rRNA
Rfam family: Bacterial small subunit ribosomal RNA
Source: RNAcentral